CACUGUAGAGCUAGACUAGCGUUAACCUUUUAAGUUAAAGACUAAGAGAAGCAUCACCUCUUUACAGUGGA
Molecule: transfer RNA, 71 nt
Filed under: Nomascus gabriellae (Red-cheeked gibbon)
Lineage: Eukaryota; Metazoa; Chordata; Mammalia; Primates; Hylobatidae
Description: tRNA-Lys
Source: RNAcentral